CCGGCGACCGGCGCACGGGUGAGUAACACGUAUGCGACCUGCCCCCCGCAGGGGGAUAACCGGGAGAAAUCCCGACUAAUACCGCGUAACGCCGCGACCUGCAUGGGUCUGCGGCCAAAGGAAGCGAUUCCGGCGGGGGAUGGGCAUGCGGCGCAUUAGCUAGUCGGCGGGGUAACGGCCCACCGAGGCGACGAUGCGUAGGGGUUCUGAGAGGAAGGUCCCCCACACUGGUACUGAGACACGGACCAGACUCCUACGGGAGGCAGCAG
RNAcentral lists this ribosomal RNA (269 nucleotides) under uncultured bacterium. RNAcentral describes it as "partial 16S ribosomal RNA". It matches the Rfam family "Bacterial small subunit ribosomal RNA", at positions 88 to 354 of the family's 1533-position model. The record is from RNAcentral.